This 1202-nucleotide ribosomal RNA is filed under the name Eggplant stunt phytoplasma. Its description in RNAcentral is "bacterial SSU rRNA". It matches the Rfam family "Bacterial small subunit ribosomal RNA", at positions 173 to 1374 of the family's 1533-position model. Lineage: Bacteria; Bacillati; Mycoplasmatota; Mollicutes; Acholeplasmatales; Acholeplasmataceae. The record is from RNAcentral.
AUAGGAAAAGUAAAGGCAUCUUUACUUUUUUAAAAGACCUUCUUUGAAGGUAUGCUUAAGGAGGGGCUUGCGACACAUUAGUUAGUUGGCAGGGUAAAGGCCUACCAAGACUAUGAUGUGUAGCUGGACUGAGAGGUUGAACAGCCACAUUGGGACUGAGACACGGCCCAAACUCCUACGGGAGGCAGCAGUAGGGAAUUUUCGGCAAUGGAGGAAACUCUGACCGAGCAACGCCGCGUGAACGAUGAAGUACCUCGGUAUGUAAAGUUCUUUUAUUAAGGAAGAAAAAAGAGUGGAAAAACUCCCUUGACGGUACUUAAUGAAUAAGCCCCGGCUAAUUACGUGCCAGCAGCCGCGGUAAUACAUAAGGGGCGAGCGUUAUCCGGAAUUAUUGGGCGUAAAGGGUGCGUAGGCGGUUUAAUAAGUCUAUAGUUUAAUUUCAGUGCUUAACGCUGUUGUGCUAUAGAAACUGUUUUACUAGAGUGAGUUAGAGGCAAGCGGAAUUCCAUGUGUAGCGGUAAAAUGCGUAAAUAUAUGGAGGAACACCAGAGGCGUAGGCGGCUUGCUGGGACUUUACUGACGCUGAGGCACGAAAGCGUGGGGAGCAAACAGGAUUAGAUACCCUGGUAGUCCACGCCGUAAACGAUGAGUACUAAGUGUCGGGUAAAACCGGUACUGAAGUUAACACAUUAAGUACUCCGCCUGAGUAGUACGUACGCAAGUAUGAAACUUAAAGGAAUUGACGGGACUCCGCACAAGCGGUGGAUCAUGUUGUUUAAUUCGAAGAUACACGAAAAACCUUACCAGGUCUUGACAUUUUCUUGCGAAGUUAUAGAAAUAUAAUGGAGGUUAUCAGGAAAACAGGUGGUGCAUGGUUGUCGUCAGCUCGUGUCGUGAGAUGUUAGGUUAAGUCCUAAAACGAGCGCAACCCUUGUCGUUAAUUGCCAGCAUGUAAUGAUGGGGACUUUAACGAGACUGCCAAUGAAAAAUUGGAGGAAGGUGGGGAUUACGUCAAAUCAUCAUGCCCCUUAUGAUCUGGGCUACAAACGUGAUACAAUGGUUGAUACAAAGAGUAGCUGAAACGUGAGUUCUUAGCAAAUCUCACAAAAUCAAUCUCAGUUCGGAUUGAAGUCUGCAACUCGACUUCAUGAAGUUGGAAUCGCUAGUAAUCGCGAAUCAGCAUGUCGCGGUGAAUACGUUCU